AACUCUCACACACACACACACUCUUCUUACUCCUUUAACUCUCACACUCACACACACUCUUCUUACUCCUUUAACUCUCACACACACACUCUUCUUACUCCUUUAACUCUCACACACACACUCUUCUUACUCCUUUAACUCUCACACACACACACUCUUCUUACUCCUUUAACUCUCACACACACACACACACACUCUUCUUACUCCUUUAACUCUCACACACACACACACACUCUUCUUACUCCUUUAACUCUCACACACACACUCUUCUUACUCCUUUAACUCUCACUCACACCCUCCAGCAAAAAAGGCUCAGUUGGACGACCUGGCUCUGAGGUCACCGUCUAGAUUCCUCGCGGUUGAUUGGCUGGCAUGGCCAGUGAGUGGUUUCCAUGGCGACAUCUGGUGGUAUCCAUGGCGACAUCUGGUGGUAUCCAUGGCGACAUCAGGUGGUAUCCAUGGCGACAUCUGGUGGUAUCCAUGGCGACAUCAGGUGGUAUCCAUGGUGACAUCCUCCGGUGUCUCGACUCCACAGAAGUCCAUGAUCACAUUAUCAGACGUCUCUUCCCACGGGGUUACAGCCAAUCAGAAGGCAUUAUCAGACGUCUCUUCCCACAGGGUUACAGCCAAUCAGAAGGCAUUAUCAGACGUCUCUUCCCACGGGGUUACAGCCAAUCAGAAGGCAUUAUCAGACGUCUCCUCCCACGGGGUUACAGCCAAUCAGAAGGCAUUAUCAGACGUCUC
Molecule: long non-coding RNA, 744 nt
Organism: Clupea harengus (Atlantic herring)
Lineage: Eukaryota; Metazoa; Chordata; Actinopteri; Clupeiformes; Clupeidae
Source: Ensembl